GUUCCUGUAGUGCAGUGUAUAUAGCAUGUUGGGCUUCUAAUCCAAAAGUCGUGAGUUCAAAUCUUACCUGGGAUG
Non-coding RNA from Trichonephila clavata, 75 nucleotides. Lineage: Eukaryota; Metazoa; Arthropoda; Arachnida; Araneae; Nephilidae. The record is from the annotation of a GenBank genome assembly.